RNAcentral lists this non-coding RNA (89 nucleotides) under uncultured Abyssibacter sp. RNAcentral's name for it is "Glycine riboswitch". It matches the Rfam family "Glycine riboswitch aptamer", at positions 9 to 86 of the family's 94-position model. From Rfam's summary of the family: This family represents the bacterial glycine riboswitch. Lineage: Bacteria; Pseudomonadati; Pseudomonadota; Gammaproteobacteria; Chromatiales; Oceanococcaceae. The record is from RNAcentral.
GACUCUGGAGAGCGCUGGCACCGACCAGCCACCGAAGGGGCAGGAGCCGCGCAAGGCGCUCCAAUCUCUCAGGUAUCAGGACAGAGGGG